Molecule: non-coding RNA, 516 nt
Organism: Onthophagus taurus
Lineage: Eukaryota; Metazoa; Arthropoda; Insecta; Coleoptera; Scarabaeidae
Source: RefSeq, a predicted model, not a curated record
UUAAUUUAUAUUUAUAGGUUAUGUUUCAACCCUGAAUAUAGCCUCAAAAUUAAAAUAAUAACUUUAGGUUGGUAGCCCUUUAGAUCAGCUGUCAUAUCAUCCCUUUAGUUUAUUUCUAUCUUGUCAUUGUCAAAUUUGUGUUGGUUUUUAUAUUUUUCAUCAUUUCGUCGCUUUAUUUUAUUUAAACACUGCUUAUUUUAAUCGGAGUUACUUAUUUUGAAGUAUUUCGAAGAAUCUUUAGAAGAAAAUUAAUUGAAGAAUUAAGAUGAAGAAAAGAACGUUUAAUUUUAUGGAAAACAACAUUAAAACAAGGUUUGUACUCAAAUAAACUAUAUAAUCAAAGAUUUAGUGAAGAAUUAGGUUAUAUCAGGUCGAUAAUGAAGAUAAUUUAGAAUGGGUUUAACGAUUAAGACAAAAAUUGAUCGGAGUUGAAACGAAAUUGAGGUUAUUUCUCUAAUUUUAGCACUUAAAAUGUUAAAUGAUAAUCUCGUUUAAUUAAUAUAGUGAUGGAAAGGA